This 932-nucleotide ribosomal RNA is filed under the name uncultured bacterium. RNAcentral's name for it is "bacterial SSU rRNA". It matches the Rfam family "Bacterial small subunit ribosomal RNA", at positions 8 to 916 of the family's 1533-position model. The record is from RNAcentral.
AGAGUUUGAUCAUGGCUCAGAAUGAACGCUGGCGGCGUGCCUAACACAUGCAAGUCGAGCGAGAAAGUCCCUUUCGGGGGGCGAGUAAAGCGGCGCACGGGUGAGUAACGCGUGGGUAACCUACCCAGGAGUGGGGGAUAACCAGCCGAAAGGCUGACUAAUCCCGCAUACGACCAGCAGGCAUAAGUCUGUUGGGGAAAGAUGGCCUCUGCUUGCAAGCUAUCGCUCCUGGAUGGGCCCGCGUUGGAUUAGCUAGUUGGUGGGGUAAUGGCUCACCAAGGCUGCGAUCCAUAGCUGGUUUGAGAGGACGACCAGCCACACUGGAACUGAGACACGGUCCAGACUCCUACGGGAGGCAGCAGUGAGGAAUAUUGCGCAAUGGGGGAAACCCUGACGCAGCGACGCCGUGUGAGCGAUGAAGGCCUUCGGGUUGUAAAGCUCUGUCAGAGGGGAAGAAAGGGGAUAUGGUUAAUACCCAUGUCCAUUGACGGUACCCUCUGAGGAAGCACCGGCUAACUCCGUGCCAGCAGCCGCGGUAAUACGGAGGGUGCGAGUGUUAUUCGGAAUCACUGGGCGUAAAGAGCACGUAGGCGGAUAGGUAAGUCAGAUGUGAAAUCCCGGGGCUCAACUUCGGAACUGCAUUUGAUACUGCCUGUCUUGAGUGUGGUAGAGGGGGUGGAAUUCCCGGUGUAGAGGUGAAAUUCGUAGAUAUCGGGAGGAACACCAGAGGCGAAGGCGACCCCCUGGGCCACUACUGACGCUGAGGUGCGAAAGCGUGGGGAGCAAACAGGAUUAGAUACCCUGGUAGUCCACGCCGUAAACGAUGAGUACUAGGUGCGGGGGGUAUAAACUCCCUCCGUGUCGGAGCUAACGCAUUAAGUACUCCGCCUGGGAAGUACGGUCGCAAGGCUGAAACUCAAAUGAAUUGACGG